Unclassified non-coding RNA from Parus major (Great Tit), 167 nucleotides. Lineage: Eukaryota; Metazoa; Chordata; Aves; Passeriformes; Paridae. The record is from Ensembl.
CUGCAAAUUGGAGUUCUCCCCUUUGCCACAGAGAGGGGACAGCUGAGACAGCAUCUGCACAAACAGCCUGCCCACAGCCCCUGCCAGCCUGCCUCAGCUCUGACCUUGAGGAGCUGCCUCCAAGUGGGAAAGGCAAACUCCCCCUUCCCUUGCAGCCCUGGGCUUCU